This 465-nucleotide ribosomal RNA is filed under the name Vreelandella stevensii. RNAcentral's name for it is "partial 16S ribosomal RNA". It matches the Rfam family "Bacterial small subunit ribosomal RNA", at positions 338 to 795 of the family's 1533-position model. Lineage: Bacteria; Pseudomonadati; Pseudomonadota; Gammaproteobacteria; Oceanospirillales; Halomonadaceae. The record is from RNAcentral.
CCUACGGGGGGCAGCAGUGGGGAAUAUUGGACAAUGGAGGCAACCCUGAUCCAGCCAUGCCGCGUGUGUGAAGAAGGCCCUCGGGUUGUAAAGCACUUUCAGUGAGGAAGAACGCCUGGUGGUUAAUACCCAUCAGGAAAGACAUCACUCACAGAAGAAGCACCGGCUAACUCCGUGCCAGCAGCCGCGGUAAUACGGAGGGUGCGAGCGUUAAUCGGAAUUACUGGGCGUAAAGCGCGCGUAGGUGGCUUGAUAAGCCGGUUGUGAAAGCCCCGGGCUCAACCUGGGAACGGCAUCCGGAACUGUCAAGCUAGAGUGCAGGAGAGGAAGGUAGAAUUCCCGGUGUAGCGGUGAAAUGCGUAGAGAUCGGGAGGAAUACCAGUGGCGAAGGCGGCCUUCUGGACUGACACUGACACUGAGGUGCGAAAGCGUGGGUAGCAAACAGGAUUAGAUACCCCAGUAGUC